UUUAUCAAAGAAUUCAACAUUUGACUGCACCAAAACUUGAUGAAAUAUGAAACCAAAGUGAUGGAUGGAAAAAGAAGCGAGGUAAGUAUUGUCUUGCAUGUGCUAAUGAAAUAGAAGCUAUUUCUGCAACGAAAAGUGCAUUUAAUUAACAUGUCCUUAUGGUUGACCAGAUAGUAUUAAUGAUUAUUUUGUGGAAGGGUAGUUAUGAUCUCUGAAUUUAACUUUCAUCCAAACAGCCACAAUUUAGAUUUUGUUGGUUGCAUUUAAGGUGCUACUGCUGUGUUACAUAUUAGCUUACUUGAGUUUAUCGUAUCGUGUGUGUGUUUUUAUUUUCUGUACAGACAUUCGGGUUCAGGUCUUGGUUUGUAAGCGAAGUCUGAGUCCGGGAUUGGGUGUAUUUGGUUUCUUUAUAAAAAUUUCAUGUGGCUUAAUUCCACUAGUAAAGUGUUGCCUUCGAUAACUUAGAUUACACAUGGAAGCCUCCCUGUUGCAUUUAGACAUUUAAGUUUAGGUUCCUAUGAUGCAUCUAAGUCACGGCACAAAGCUGGCUGAAUUCGAGGAACCAACUUCUAUCAGCAAAGUGAGCCCUCAAGGGCAUGUGGAAAUCACAAUAUGUUUUUGUCUUGCUAUUGCUUUUUAUUUGGUUCUGUGAUAAUCUCUUGAACAAUCAACAAUCAACAUGUUGCUUGAUGCAUGACGUAAUUUUUUCUGAUGCUGGGGUCUUUGCUGAUGUAAACUUUGCUCUCUAUUUUUGGACUGUCAAUGUCAUACCCUUGGUCCAUGUCUUGGUUUGUUGGUCUUAAUAAGAUUACCCUACCCAAAAAAAAAAACUUGUUGCAUGGUUGGUGCUGCGAUUGAAGAGAUUAAAAUUCAGUACCUAACCUGUAAAGAAUGUGAAUGGAAAAGUUACAUAGAGAUGGCAAUAAUUUCUUUCUUCUAUGGCCCAACCCCACCCAAGAGCAGGAGGUCUGACCAAUGUAUAUACCACUUAUAAGCUUCCAUGUAUUAUGGAGAAUAUGUGGGGCAAGUACUUACACGUAGGAGCCUUCAAGAAACAUGUACUUUCCACAAGUUUGGUUCGCAAUGAAAGCAAGUAAAGCUGUAAAGGGCUUAAGGUCACAUUUAAGACAAUUCGCAAGGCUUUAACUAUGAUAACAACCACCAACUAAGGUCUCCGCAUAGGACAAGGUUGUUAGCCCGAUCUUUGGCAUACUGGUCUUAUUGUGCAUGCUUCAUCAUCUUGGGAGUCCUGGCAUGAAUCUAAGUGGUUGCCUCUAAUAGGAUGUUAAGUAGUGCCACUUACAUUUGUAGACUUAGAGACAGGGCCUAUGUCAAUGUACUUGACCCUUAUCGAAGGACUCUACAAGCUUAUAGCUCUGAGGAUAGAGGUAGUGCUUUUAGCUUGGCGCUGUGCAUCGCCGGUUAGGCCAGUCUAUAUUUCCUGGAACAUUCCGGAAUGCUUCUAGGUUUGGGUACGAGGACGGGAAUGUUGUUCGCCAUAUCCAAAAUGGCGGUAGGAUGGGAUACAGUUCUAUAGAUUACAACAGAGCAUUAUGGCAUAGAUUAUCACUGUAAAACACAUUUCUAGGCACUGUAUGACAAAAUUUUCACAUCUUGUGUCGCAAAGGCUCCACUUUCUCUAGAUCUUUGAGAAUCUUAUUUUUUUCCUUCUAAGGAAAAUGUAUCUAUCUUUACAUCAAAAGAAUCUUUCCGGAGAUCAAUGUGGGUAUGAUAAGUGGGAAGAGUGCCUGAGGUUGCCCUUUGGGGGUAUGGUGGUUACUAUAGUGACUUAGGACCACCGGAGGUGGAGGAGGAGAGAGCUCAGGGCAGCCUCAAAGAGAGAGAGAGAGAGAGAGAGAGAGAGAGAUAUAUGGCAGUGGAGAGUAGGUGUGUAUUGAAUGCUUGUCUUCAAUGAGGGUUAAGUCCUCUUUAUAUAUGAGCCUAGGAUCCUUGGAGGGGAAGGAAGCGUGCCUUUCCUCAUUAAUACUGAGCAGAGUACCACAUUCCCUUUUGAGUGUUAUAUCAGACCUGGAGUUCUGUAGCCAGGGACUCCCAGAUGCAAUUGGGUGAUAUAUGGAGGCCUGUAUCAUGGCUAGGUGGUAGGUAUUGUCAGCCGGGAUACUACAGAGAUCUUCAUACGUUGGGUGACGAUGGCGAACCCCUCUCUCUCUAUGACCAAUCAAGUUGGAGCUCACCUCGGAGGUGAGCCUUGACAAUCCCUUUACUCUAGCCUCUUAUAAAGCACAGAUACUCUAUUUUGGCCUUCGUAUCACGUAUCGUAUCCGUAUUGGAUACUGAUACUCUUGGAUACGCUCCAGAUACAUAUCCAUACCGUUUUUUAAAGUAUCCUACUUUUAGAAUUAUUUUUGGUAUCCCGGUAUGUUUCGGAUACGUGCGGAUAUGUGUUGGAUACGUUCAGAUAUGUUUUGGAUAUGCGCGAGGGUAAAUAUGUUAUUACUUAAAAUAUGAGUUAAAAUUGCAAUUAGGACUAUUUUUCUUUUUUCCCCACAAAUCGACACUAGAAAGGUAGAAACACACCGAUGAUAUCCUCUCUCUCGUUUCUCAUCUCUCUCGACGAUCUUGUAUGUCUCUUGUCUCUCCCCCUCUCUCUCGCUGUGUAUGUAUAUACAAUUAUAUAUAUAACUAUAUGUAAAUAUCUCUCUCUUGGCAUGUGAAAUGGUGAAUUUGUGUAAUGAAAAGCUUUAAUCAUUAAUGGAAUUUUAGGAAUUAAAAAUUAUAUAUAUAAUAUAUUUUUUAUUUACUUUUAUAUUCAACGUAUCCCCCAACUUAUCGUAUCCUUCUUUUUGGAAAAAUCACGUAUCUGUAUCCGUAGCCUCCAAUCCACAUUCCUCCUUAGGUCCCGAGUAAAGUACCUAGGUCCUGCUCCCGACUUAGGGUGUUGUGCAGAGUCGCCAUUAGUGCAGAGGCAGCUCGAAUGCGGAGGCAUCAGAUGUACAAAGGCACCUCAAGUGCGGAGGUGUGAUGGAGCCGAGGAGGUAAGGAUGGUUCUCUGGUAGCCUUAGGGGGCGGAGGACCUCCAAAUACCCACAUUAAUGUCCCCUUGUGCGCAUGUUCUCAUGUGACAAAUGAGUGUAUGCGGGCAUAUAUCUAGUAUCUUCGAGGAAUUUGUCUAGCGUAGGUGAUCGUUUCCUAUGCAGUGAGGUUAUGCUAUUUUUGUUCUUCUGAGGGUACUAGCUAUGCCAUUUUUGGCCGUGGCUAGAGUCUUGUCAUGUCAAAGGUCCUUUCUCCUUGCGUUUUAUGAGGAUGCUCUACUAUAAGUAUGGAGUUUACUCAUCUCAUUUUUGUUGUUUGAGGAUUUUUGGAGAGAACUUCUGGUAGAUUUUCCUUUGUGAGGGGGCUCCGCUCGCGGUGAGGGGACCACGGGUAGCCGUAUCCGCACCUGAGGUUGCCCUCUGGGGGUAUGGUGUACAAGGGAAUGUGGUACUCUGCUCAGGAUUUUUGGAGGCACGUUUGGAUUCUUACCGCCACGGAGCUAUAUACAAAGUGGGUAGAGGCAAUCCCCCUCUGAAAGGCCACCGGAGCAGCCGUUUCAGAGAAUUCAUCAUAUGUCGCUGCGGAAUCCCAAAGGUCAUCCUUUCUGAUAAUGGAACUCCAUUUGUGAACCGCCAAGUUGGACAACUCCUAGCCUCGUAUGACAUCACUCACCUCAAGUCAACAGCGUACUAUCCCAAGGGGAAUGGUCAAGCCGAGGCAACAAAUAAGACACUCUUGAAGAUACUGAGCAGAAUCUUGGAAGAUCAUCAGAAAAAUUGGGCUCACGCCUUGCCCAUGGCUCUCUGGGCAUACCGAACUUCCAAAAGAAGACAUGACCCCUUUCGCCCUUGUCUAUGCCACCGAAGCAGUCUUACCGUUAGAAGUUGCAGUGCCGUCCGCACGGGUGGCACGGACGGCACUGCGAAGCGAGGUUCUCUACGACUCAAGACCAAGCGAGCUGGAAGCCCUAGAUGAACGAAGGGAUCAAGCGCAAGCUAACCUCCGCGUCUAUCAAUGGAGGAUAGCUCGCGCUUAUGAUGCUUUAGUCAAGUCGCAAAGAUUUGAAGAGGGAGACUUGCUGCUGAAGGAAGCCCCUCACAUCAUCAAGAAAGGAAAAUUAGCGUCCAAGUUUACCCCAAAAUGGGAAGGACCGUUCCUGGUGAAAGAAGCAAAUGAGAAUUGAUACUACCGAAUCUCCAAGCCAGAAUCUCAAGUCGUCAUGGCACCCAUCAAUACAAAGUGGUUGAAAGCAUACCACCCUUAGCAGACGUCCCUCCUUUAUUAUGUAGGCCUUUUAUUUGAUGUAAUGAAAGAAGUUCCAAUUCCCAGAAGGCUCUGAUAAUGAGUUAAUGGAGCCCAAGGGAAGUUCAAACACUCUGUACUGAUUUCCUAAGAAGAAUUAUGAAUGAAAACUCCAAAAAAAAUAAAAAAAAUUGCUCUCAAUCUCCUACUUGCAACCACAAAGAGAUAAGCACGAAAUAACAACUCACUUACACACCGUUGUGGCUACCUUAAUUUGGACCUGAGCAUACAUUCAAGAAUCUUACACAAAGUAUCACAAUCCUCAAAAUAGGCCUGAGCUAUGCUUUUUUGCUCAAGUAUCAGACCUGAGCAGGAGCCAGGCAUAUCUAUGAGAAACUUUGAACACCUCAAAAGCAUCACAAUCCUCAAAGUGGAAUUUGAUGAUGAUAAGGGUUAGAGAUUAAUUUAUCUUGAGAUUCAAUUAACUUGGUUGUUCCGUUUGCUUAGGAUUCUUUAAUGGGUUUUCUUUGUUUUUUGUGCAUAUAAGCAGAGUUCAUGAUUUGAUUGUUGAGAUAUUAAUUUGGGGCUGUAUCCCCGUUUCAUUCCCUUCAUCCUUUUCCUUCUUCAUUCUGCUUAUCUCUUUCUCCUCUCUUUCCUUUGCUCUCAAGUCUCAUCUGGUUCUGCACCAUUUUGGUGUCAGAGCGUGAUCACGAUCCAUAGUUUCUCUCAACCAGCUUCUUUCCCUCCUUGAUAGUCUCAUUCGUUUCGGCCUUCACCUUCUCCGGUUUCUCCCAGC
Molecule: long non-coding RNA, 5032 nt
Organism: Rhododendron vialii
Lineage: Eukaryota; Viridiplantae; Streptophyta; Magnoliopsida; Ericales; Ericaceae
Exons: 2
Source: RefSeq, a predicted model, not a curated record